GUGGGGUAUUUAUACUGCCCUGGCAUUUUAGGGGCCCUAAAGCGUGAGAAGAAGUCUGGAAUAUAAUUCUCUAAAAAUUUUUACGCAUUUGGAUUCCGUGAGGGGUAUGGUGAGUUCAUGUGAGAUUUUAUUUUUUGACACAAGUUAGUGGAAUAUGAGACUUUGUAAGAAAAAA
Molecule: long non-coding RNA, 175 nt
Organism: Bufo bufo (common toad)
Lineage: Eukaryota; Metazoa; Chordata; Amphibia; Anura; Bufonidae
Exons: 2
Source: RefSeq, a predicted model, not a curated record